UACGAGGGGGGCAAGCGUUGUUCGGAAUUAUUGGGCGUAAAGGGUGCGUAGGCGGUCUGACAGGUCUGAUGUGAAAUCUAUGGGCUCAACUCAUAGUCUGCAUCGGAAACUGCCGGGCUUGAGUAUGGGAGAGGUGAGUGGAAUUCCUGGUGUAGCGGUGAAAUGCGUAGAUAUCAGGAGGAACACCUGUGGCGAAAGCGGCUCACUGGACCAUAACUGACGCUGAUGCACGAAAGCUAGGGGAGCAAACAGG
RNAcentral lists this ribosomal RNA (253 nucleotides) under uncultured bacterium. RNAcentral describes it as "partial 16S ribosomal RNA". It matches the Rfam family "Bacterial small subunit ribosomal RNA", at positions 524 to 776 of the family's 1533-position model. The record is from RNAcentral.